GCUCGGGUCUCAGAGGGGGAGGGCAAGAGCCGCAUUCCCCAGGGGUCUUUGCACCUGGAGGGGAGAGGAGGAGCUUGCUCGAAGGCCUGGACGAGCUUGCUUUGUUCGCUGCGGAGAAGCACAUGGUCCCCCUGCAGUUUACAGAGUAUCUGCCAUCCUUCAGUGAGAUCUUCAGUGACUCCCAUCUCUACACCCGUCAGAAGAAAGCCAGGUAUCCAGCCGAGAUGAGAGCAUAAUAUGAGUUAAAAAUUGCUCGUAUAAAAGAAGUCCUGUGCUGAGAGCUGUUGUCUGUGGGAUUCUCUGGAUUUGGUAAGGCACAUUUGGCUCCAUCACACUGGCAGGAAUGAAACAAUAUUUCCUGAGCACUGACCUCUUCGACACUUGUGUGGACUCAGCAUCUUAAUUGCUGUUAGUGUGAAUCACCGAAAGCUGGUGCAUAAUUUCUCGAGACAUUUAUUGGAGAUCUACAGUAGACAUUCACUCUCAAUAACAAAAAUAAAGAAAUCCAUAAAUCCCAUGAAACUUUCCCCUACUUCAUUUCAAGUUGUUUAUACAAGAAACUUCAUGUCGUAAUAACACUUUUUGGCCUUUGUUUGAUUGGAAAUUUCUAUUAAAC
Long non-coding RNA from Numida meleagris (helmeted guineafowl), 616 nucleotides. RefSeq lists it as uncharacterized. The record is from RefSeq and is a predicted model, not a curated record. The transcript is spliced from 3 exons. NCBI's taxonomy places the organism in Eukaryota, Metazoa, Chordata, Aves, Galliformes, Numididae.